Molecule: long non-coding RNA, 816 nt
Organism: Pseudophryne corroboree (corroboree frog)
Lineage: Eukaryota; Metazoa; Chordata; Amphibia; Anura; Myobatrachidae
Exons: 2
Source: RefSeq, a predicted model, not a curated record
GUAAUCCUCGGGAAUAAUCUGGGACAAGGACUAGUGACACGCUUCAUCCAGGUGGUAACCAGAAGCCAAACACGAAGAGAGGUGACCCAGGCUACAGAUAUGGUCCAGAAUCAGCCUACCCAGACAAUGGGACGAGACCAUCACAAUGCUGACGGGUUAUCCAGACGUGAGGAAACAAAUGCCAGACUUCGCAGACCUUCGGGCCGAGACAACAGUCAGGACUCCAACAUUGGCAUCAUGCCUGUCUCCUCGAUUUAAGAAGGGGGAGGUAUGUGAGGAGACCAGGGAAAGGGAUGUCUAGGACAUGCUUUCAUGUUAAAAAGGAAAGAGUUAAUCCUAUGGCCCAAGUUCUGAGUUCUUAAAUUGAAGCCCUCAGUCUGCAGAAGUCACACACAGGAAGUAUCCCAGAAGCAUACAGCAGGGGAGUGUUUCUUUUAGAAAAGCCCUCCUCCUUCCCCUCUGGAAAGACUGACAGCAUGAUCCACCAAUCAGAAAGGAGGAGAGAGAAGGAACCAGCAAGGGGGAAUUGUGGGGAGAGGAAGUGGCUGGGAGAAGGAGACUGUGUGUGUGUGGAGGUGAUGGUGCACAGCUAGACUCACUGAAGGUUGGGGUGUCGUCCCCUCUCAGUGUCAUCAGUGACCAGCCACUCUGUGUGCCCUGCUACAGCUGUCAUUACUGCCCAGGACUGGAGGAGAUAUACAGCAGCUGGUAAGGACUUUGCUGAACUCUGAGUGGACAUUAUUAGUAUAACCCUGCUUGCUGUUCACUGGAUUUCUGGGUCUCCCUGAAUAAAGAUCACCUUGAUUUUCAUUAUAA